This 343-nucleotide unclassified non-coding RNA is filed under the name soil metagenome. RNAcentral describes it as "partial contains 5.8S ribosomal RNA, internal transcribed spacer 2, and large subunit ribosomal RNA". The stretch from base 1 to 120 matches the Rfam family "5.8S ribosomal RNA", at positions 35 to 154 of the family's 154-position model. The record is from RNAcentral.
GAUGAAGAACGUAGCGAAAUGCGAUAAGUAAUGUGAAUUGCAGAAUUCAGUGAAUCAUCGAAUCUUUGAACGCACAUUGCGCCCGCCAGUAUUCUGGCGGGCAUGCCUGUUCGAGCGUCAUUUCAACCCUCAAGCCCCCGGGCUUGGUGUUGGGGAUCGGCGUGCCCUCGCGGCGCGCCGUCCCCUAAAUCUAGUGGCGGUCUCGCUGUAGCUUCCUCUGCGUAGUAGCAACACUCGCACUGGAUCGCAGCGCGGCCACGCCGUUAAACCCCCCACUUCUGAAAGUUUGACCUCGGAUCAGGUAGGAAUACCCGCUGAACUUAAGCAUAUCAAUAAGCGGAGA